This 72-nucleotide transfer RNA is filed under the name Chloroflexota bacterium. RNAcentral's name for it is "Chloroflexi bacterium (anaerobic digester metagenome) tRNA-Gly". It matches the Rfam family "tRNA". From Rfam's summary of the family: Transfer RNA (tRNA) molecules are approximately 80 nucleotides in length. The record is from RNAcentral. RNAcentral also lists the same sequence under 2 other names. Lineage: Bacteria; Bacillati; Chloroflexota.
GCGGGCAUAGUUCAGUGGUAGAACGUCUCCUUGCCAAGGAGAAGGUCACGAGUUCGAGUCUCGUUGCCCGCU